CAGCAGCCGCGGGAAUACGAAGGGGGCUAGCGUUGUUCGGAUUUACUGGGCGUAAAGCGCACGUAGGCGGACUUUUAAGUCAGGGGUGAAAUCCCAAGGCUCAACCCUGGAACUGCCUUUGAUACUGUCGAUCUGGAGUAUGGAAGAGGUGAGUGGAAUUCCGAGUGUAGAGGUGAAAUUCGUAGAUAUUCGGAGGAACACCAGUGGCGAAGGCGGCUCACUGGUCCAUUACUGACGCUGAGGUGCGAAAGCGUGGGGAGCAAACAGGAUUAGAUACCCCCGUAGUCCCUGUCUCUUAUAC
Molecule: ribosomal RNA, 301 nt
Filed under: uncultured bacterium
Lineage: Bacteria
Description: partial 16S ribosomal RNA
Rfam family: Bacterial small subunit ribosomal RNA
Source: RNAcentral